ACCCCACCCCCGGCGGGGCGGAGCGGGACCCGUGGUGAUUCCCGGACUCUCGGCCGGAGCCGGGGGCGGAGGGGCGGCGGCGAGGUGCCGAGGGACCUCCGCCCGCUCCCGCCGCUAGCACCUGAAGGCCGCAGAGACCUGCCCUUUCCUCCCCAGCCUUUUUCCCCCCCGCAGGACUGAGGCCAUCCUGGCAGGCGGGUCCCGAGCCGAGGUAGCUCUGCCUUGCCCUCCCUAACCUCACCCGUAUUUGGCUCCAGAGUUAGCCCUCAGCUUUUCUUCCUUUAAGCAACUCCCACUGGCGGCAUCCUUUUCAAAUAUGAUGCGUGCUUUUCUUGAAGGCGACCUUCUCAAAGUUCUGAGAAUUUCUUGUUAGGGCGGUAUUGCAGACAGAUUAAAAAAAAAAAAAUCACAGUAAGGAAAGGGAACAGUCAGUAUGGACAUAGUAAUACCUGGGAGGAUGUUCACACCACUGCCUAACCAGAACGCCUGUAGAUUUUUCCAGUCUCAUGAAUUAACCAAAAAAGUCCCGAUCCUGGAAUCAUCCCACGAAUAGUGUGAUGUGCUGGGACUAUUCUCUGGGUUGCCAAUGGCUAAGAAUUGAAACCAUGUCAAGAACUUUGCCCAUUUCCCAUACCUCAAAAACAAACAGAAAAGAAAGGAGAAAGAAAGAAAAAAAAAAAAAAGACCUUUUUGUCUGUGUUCAUAAUUGCAACAAACGUUUCUCAACGAUUGAACUAUCCUUGAUGAGACAAAUAGUAUUAUAGAGAAAAACGUUAAAUUGGACUUCAGCUGUACCCCUUAUUGGUGAAGUGCUUGUGCAAGAAAUCUCUUUUCCUCUUGGCUUAAGAAUGGGGGACCCUACGUAAACUUCCCCAGUGGGAACUUCUGUUUCUCCAUACCGGUUAACUGGCUUGUCAACGAUUCUGUUUUGAGAACACAAUUUUAUGUACAUCCAGAGAACUGGACCCACCAACCCAGGAGUUUUCAAACUGCUUUGAACCUAGGAACUGGAGAGACUGGAGGAUCUCUUUCCCAGUUAAGAUUUGGGUGUGGAGAAUCCUAGGGACUAUGGAGAAGGAAGAGUGUGGAUCAUCACUGGCCUUGAAUUUUAAAACAUUCAAAACAUUUUUUGUGCAGGCAUUAAUAGACUUGAUGAGAGAUAUCUAGCAACCGAGGACCUCAGAGUGAAAGAGUGAGGAAUCUGACAACCUUCAGAAAGGCAUGUCUUAAUUUUCCAUGAAGAUGGCAACUUGCAAAUGUUAGUAAAAUAGAAAACGCUGUAAAACGACACUAUAAACUCAGAAGCAGGACACCCAAUAGAUGCACAAACCUGUAUCUCCAAUCCUAACCUUUUCUCAGAAAUGCAGGUUCAUAUCACUAUCUGCCUACUGAAAUUUCCAUUUAGCUGGCCAGAAGACCUAAGCCAACUAUCUCCAAAAUAUACCCUAACGCAGUCUUCUCAUCCUUUGUUCGGUCACUCUUAACAGGAGCAGCCUCUCCUUUGGACUAGCACAUCUAGCCCAUUUCUUCCAUCUAACCCACAUCUCUUCCAUUUUUUGUCCCUUCUAAUCCAUUCACUGGUGUUUGUCAAGCUUUAAAUGUGCAUAUGAAUCGCCUGGGGAUGUUGUUAACAGCACUUAGUCUCAUUCAGUUCUGGGUGGUGCCUCAGAUUCUGCAAUUGUUUCAAGCUCAGAGGUGAUGCUGCUGUUCCCGACUGGGGAGGCAGUAGCCAACUAAACUGCCCCUCUCCCACCUUGUGAAGCCUUUCAGAGGACCCUGGAGGAACAGAUUGUCAUUUUGUCUUCAGACUCGUUCACCAUCUAGCCUCUCUAUUUAGACUGCCAAAUGAUGUCAAAGACAUCCUGUCAAAAGCCAAGAACUAUGAACACACAUUAAAUCUGAUGAAGUGAGAAGACUCCCAUUUUGAUAAUCCUUUUAUCUUCACUCUCCAACUAAAGUUAAGGAAGAAAGAACUAUUGGCAUUCAAUAAAGAAUGAUGGGAACCCCCGCUUUCACUUGCUCUGACCCCACAUAGGAAGAGAAGUUGCCUUCUCUGAACUAUCCUUCACCAUUGACAGAAUUGACAGAAUGUGCUUUUUAAAACCAGAAUUGAUUAUGUCAUUCCCCAGACUAGUCCUUACCUCCUGUGAAAACCCAGGGGCAAAGUGAAUCUGCCAUUUGACUCAUAUUCCUGUCAACUUCAGGGUGACUGCUACAGACACAGAGGGAUGUUCUUGGAUUGAUAAUUUUUGCCAGUCAUGAAAGUAAAUGCCUAUAUCCAGAAGAAUAAAAUGAUGAAUCAUACAGGAUAUUCAGUAGGAUAAGAACAUCCACAUUCAGAGGACUAAGGCUUUGAGGAAAAUCUGAAUUUGGGAAUAGAGCAAGAGAGUACAGAAUUGGAACCACUAGGCAAGUCAUACUGAUUGGGGAGGUUGGAUGUCAUUUUGGUUCAAUUUAAUCUAAUAUGGUAUAUUCUUAGCACUGAGUUAGGCACUUAGAACACAAACAUACUCAUUUUCAAUACAGUCCAUGCCUCCUCACCUGUCACAUUAAAGUGCUGACAGAGAGAUAACCGCAAGUUAUAUCACAAUGUAUUUGAAGAAUGGUAUGAGGAUGGAGGUAAUGAUAAUGAGGAAAAGCUUUGCAGGAUCAUAAGGCUUGAUAUCUUUCAUGGACAGGUGGGGAUUAAGGAGAGAUAGAAGAGAGUGAGGUUUCAGACAAAGUAAUUAUUUACAGAAUUGUUUGGUAUAAUACUUUAGAGAAAAUAUUUUUCAGUGUUGUUUGUUGAAGAUGAAUUUGGAAGAAAUUAGAUCAGUUUGGAGCUAUUGAAAUAGUCUAGGCAGAAAACCAUGAGGGCUUAACCUAAUACUUUGUCCAGAAAACAAGAAACUGAUUUGAAAGCUAGUAUAGCAUUCAAAUUAAUAGGACUGUGUUACUAUCUGGAUGUUGGGGGAUGUAGUAAAUUCUUGGGUAUUAUAGAUGCUUUUGUUUGGGGCUACUAGAUGGAUAAACAUGCCAUUCACUGAGAUAGGCACAUAGGAAGUAGAUAGAUUUGGGUGGGAGAUAAUGACUUUUGACCUAUUGAGUGUAUAUUAUUUCUGGAAGAUAUAUAUGAAGAGAAUGAUGAGGUAAGAUAACAUGAUGAGGUAUCAGUGAUGUUUUAAUUCCUUUUCUUGGAGUCUGUUGGUAUUCUAGCCCGGGAAAUUUAGAGUAUCGCUUCUAUACUGCCACGUGAAAAGAAAUGAUUACAAUAAAGCAGAUCAAGAGUUAAUUCUUAGGUUUGAUUUCCAAAAGCCUAGGACUUGCCAUAGAGAAAAGAUUUCAAAAAUCCUCAUGAAAAAAAUAGAUAUAAAAAGAUUCCUCUUUUGUAAAUCUCCUUUCCUCUUAGACUAAAGAAAAGUCAUGGACUCCAGGAAGGGACCUCUCAUAUUCAACUUCACAAUAUGGAGAUUUGGCAAGUUACAGAGUUCAUUCAUAACAUGCAAGAACAAGGGCAAAAAGAAAUCUCUUGGUAUGUCUAGGCAGAUUGGCUAGGCAGAGGGCUUCAUGGAAUUUCCCAUAGCCCUGACUGGUUUGGGAUCAGGAAGGUAUUUUCCAUGUGUCCUAGAGUGGCUCAUACAUGGCUGAAAAUGUGCUGAACUUAGUGAAGUUGGGGGAGGAGAGGUUGCAGCACUUAUUUUUGUGGUCUGAUGAACAAAGUACAAACUGGGAAAAGGGACAGCUUAGCAAAUGACAAGUGGGUAUGUAAGCACAUUGUCCUAAAACCCUACUGUGCCUCCAGAGUUUAUAAAGCAAGUCUAGGGAGAAAGCAGAUUGCUCCUUCAACUGAUUAAAAUCAAGUUUCCAUUUUCAGGUGAAAUAGGCUUUCAAAAUGUAAGUUCAAUUAUUGAAAAAUAAAGAAAAUCCAUCAAGUUAGUAUCUAGCUUUGUAGACUGGGAUUUAUAUAUGUUAUACACAGUAAGCAAUUGGAUAUGUUUUCCUGGGAUAUGAUUGAUAAAGCUCUUUUGGAGGUAUUGAGUUAGAAGUCAUCAAUAUAUCUGUAGUGGUUGAAAGCCUACCAAUAAUCAGAUUACCUUGGUAACGUGCAGAGCAAGAGAAAAACAGGUUAAGGGCAAAAAUCUCUGAAGAACGCCCAUAUUGAAACAGGUAGAAGGAGUAGUUUAUGUCUGAAAGUUUAACAUUGCUGGCCUUGAAUUUCAAUUCAAAAGAUUUAUCAUCUAACAUGUCUUGGUUUCAUGAGAAAUAUUAUAUAUUGUUAAAAUAAAAUGUCUUUCUUGCCUUUCAUCAUCUACAUAAUUAAGCUAACUGACUUCUGCAAUUCUUUGUUUUAUAUUAACUUUGAUUUCUGUUGGAACAGAGACUUUGAGUGUUGGUAUAUAUUAACAUAUCAAUGAGCUUUUAUUAAAAAACAAAAAAACAGUGUUUCCCUACCCCCCUCCCCCCAAAAGAGGAAAACAAGGGAAAAGAAAAUGCAAGAAAUAGCAUUCAAAUAACACAGAUGAGAUUAUAGGCAAGCUCUGAUUCAUCAUAAGUAGCUGUAUUAUAGAGUAGCCUGAAAAGUUAGAGCUUUGGUAGCUUGGUAAUUUCUGAGCCUUUAUUAGAGUUUCAAUUGUCUUCAAGUAACCCAUGGUAAUAAAUUUCUUUUGGUGUGCAUGCUGGUAUUUUUGAGCACGUUAGAGGUAUAGACUCUUAUUUAGAAUGAAGCUGAAGAGGCUGCCAACACUUCAUGUGUCAGCCUUGGUGGAAACUGAUGUUCAUGUGUUUCUGUCAGUUGUCACCUGGGAUGAAUUUCAGUUGCCAUUGUGAAUACAAAGAGCUCACUAUCCCAUUACAAAUUCCCAUGAGUUAUUUAGUCCUGUCUUUCUUUUUCUAAAGGUUAAACUCUUAUCUUUCUGCUAAAAAGUUAGAUAAUUAACAUUCUCACUUACAAUGCUUCCAUAACAUCUGUAGAUUAUGCACCAUUAAUCAAGUUCCUCUGCAGGCAUGAUUGACUUUUACAAAGAAACUUGGGGAAUAAAUCCUUUCUCUUUAGUAAUAACUUUGUUGUUAUUAUGGUUUAAAAAAGUCCCUUUCUGAGAAACUCAAUUUAGAGUAACAGUCUCUAGCUACUUAAAAUGGGUAUUAUAAAACCAUAUAACAGAAAUAAGAGUAAGUGAUGUAUUUUAGAAUCUGUAAGAGUGCUGACAUCUCUGCAUUAAAAACUUUAGAAUCUGUGAUUUCCAAAGUACUGCAUAUUUAUACAAUCAUUUGUAUUGACACUUAAAUUCUCCAUUCUCAAAUGACAGAAGCAAAAAUUAAGCAUAUAUACUUUAUUAGUAUUUCAACUUGAAUUUAGAUUUCAUUUGUAUAGAAAGGAUAAUAAAGAAAUCAUAUUUUAACAUUGUAGAAUUUCUGUGCCUGAAUUAUUUGUCAAGAGCACCUGCACAAGGCAAGUGCUGGACAUUUAUAGAAUAUAUGUCCUAGAAACAAUUUGUUCAUGGAAAAAAAUCUGUUUUAUAUCUGUGAUGUUUCCUUGACAUUUUCUUUCUGCUAUAGGUUUCUUAUAAUACCUCCUUGAUCUGUCUGAGGAGAUAGAUUGUGGGAAUUUUUUGGAAGCUUUAGAGAUCUAUUAAACAUAGAAAUAAAACUUCUUCUUUUCCAUUAUAAGACCUUGUUUUCCAUUCUCUCCCUCAUGUUUCCUUUUUUCUUUUCCUCCUAAGUGAGCCAUAGGAAAAAACAAAACAAAGCUCUUUGAAGAAAAUAAAUUAACAUAAGAUUUUGUUGUUGCUGUAUAACAGAAAACAUACAUACAUUGGGUCAAUAAAACUAGAUGUUGUAUAUUAUGUCAAAAAUAUUAAUGAAAUACCUUGACCUACAAGGCUCUUUUCCUAGAGUUUGAAUAUAACACAAUUUUCACAGAAAAAGAUUGACAACAUUGACAUAGAGGCAUAUAUAUAUAUAUAUAUAUAUAUAUAUAUAUAUAUAUAUAUAUUUGUUAACUCAGAAGUAGACAUAGAAAUAAUUUUUUA
Felis catus (domestic cat) is the source of this 6008-nucleotide long non-coding RNA. RefSeq lists it as uncharacterized. The transcript is spliced from 8 exons. Lineage: Eukaryota; Metazoa; Chordata; Mammalia; Carnivora; Felidae. The record is from RefSeq and is a predicted model, not a curated record.